GCCACUACAGAGCAGCCGAUUGGCCAGCGCUGCCGGCAGGCGGUGUCCGGCUGCGGCUAACGGGCCCCGCGGAGCAGCUGCUCCGGGCAGGUGGGGCCUGGGGGCUUAGCGCACCCCAGCGGGCGGAGCCAGCUACGUGCGGCUGCUGCAGAUCACUGGGAUGGCGAAGGAGUAACUCAGGGAGGUACAACUCUCUAGUGCCAGUUCCACAGCCAGUUGGAACCACCAUGUGCCUCUGUGCUGCACACAACAGACUUAGAGAGCUUCACAGCUGUGGCUGGGACAGAAUCCCCAUCACCUGCACCAAAGCACAAGGCCCCGAUGCCUGAGCUAAUGGAGAAUCUCUGCUAUCUGUUAGCAGUGCAGGGCCCAUGACAGCCAGGAAACUAUGAGAGAUAUAUGCAUUUACACACCAGCCUGUUCAUUACACACUUGCCUAUAUAGACAAAGCUUGCCUCAGAACCAGCUGUUCAAAUCUUCCAUUUGACAUCAACAUAAGAAAUCUUUGUGCACCAAGUGCUUCCAUCCCGUAACUUCCAGUCUUUGCAUGGGCUUGUCUGAGAUGGUUGGGACAUUGUAUAAAAAGAAAGACGACCCUGUUUACAUUAAGGUAUCACCAUUUGUGCACAAUUGUGAUAAAUCUUAUACAAGUAUGUCUUGUAAGGUAUCCAUGAAAGUCUUAUGAUCUGCUAAGUAUUAUUUUCCUAUUUAAAUCCAUAUAUCACCAUUAUAUCUGAAGUUAUGAAGAUUUGCUGUGUGUUUGUAUCUCACAUGUGUUGUGUUCCUGGAUAUCACCCACAAGACAGAUUUGCAUCAAGGCUAGUCAGCCAUGUGUUGAUGGCCCAUAAGGAGAAUCAUCUCUUCAGUGAGUCCUCCUGAGUAUUCUCAAAAGGCAUGCUGACAUUGGAUGACCCAUGACUCAGCAAUGGCAUGUAAGGACAGGUAAUCCAAGACUUUGUUUGUGCCAGUAACUUUCCAUGCACAUCAGCUGAGUAUAUAAAAGUGGAGACUGUGACAUCACUUCUUAGCCUCUUUCCUGCUCCACAUCUCUGGAUUAUGAUUUCUAACAAGAGUUUAGGACAAUGGACUGAGGGCCCCAAUAUUUGGGAUGAACCAGAGCCACUUAUUACAAACUGGCAGAUUUAACAUCAUUGGUAUUAACCUGAUCUACAAACUCUGAAAUCACCUGUAAUGUAUAUGAUUCAUUUAAACCUCUUAACUCUUCCUUUUUUGUAUACUAAUAAAUCUUUAGAUUUUAGUUACUAAAGGAUUGGCUACCAGCAUGGGUCUGGGUGAAAUCUAAAGUAUAUUUUGACCUGGAGUGUGUGUCUGGUUCUUUGGAAUCGGAAUAACCUAAUAUAUGUGAUUCUUGGUUUAAUAAUCAUUUAUCCCAAGUCUGGAUGGUGUAUGAGGGGCUAGAGGGCCUGAAGGAGAUUCUGUGGCUUCCUGGGAUCGUUAAUAGUUCUGCCAUCUUUCUUUGGAAAAUUUCAGGUGCACUGAUAAUCCUCAAAAGUAAACUCCCCCUAAGGGUGUGAUAAAUUAGGUUAGUUUAGCACUUUAUGUGAUUUUAAAGGAAUUUGCCAGAAUCCCUUUGAGGCAUCCAGCUUGGAGAAUACUGUAUCUCAUUUCAUUUUGUGGAGUAAGUCAGCCCGUGUCAAGAGCAUAUUUUCCCCACAGCUACUUCAUUGUCUUUUUAAGAUCCACACGGAUGCAUAUUUUUCCAUUUUUCAUUAUAACUGGUAUCACUGGGGCACAUCAUGCUUUUGGCUCAGCAAUUUUCUUGAUUAUGCCAAUCAUUCUAUUCUCUUCAAUGCCAUUUCCACUUUAUGAAGUAGUGGGAUAGGAAUCGUGCGAGAUGUAUGUACACUAUACAGUGCAGCAUUGUCUCUUAAGGUUAUUUGUACUGGAUCUCCUGUCAAAAGUUGAAUAUCACCAAAUAUUCCAUCGAGUUCUUCCACCUUUCUCACUAGGCCCAUCAUAGGGUGUUGGUUUGUGGUGCUUUGAUCACAUACAAUCUGAACACACAGCUUUAGUCUUUGUAAGCAAAUGCAGGCAGAGCUCUUAUAAAACAUUCAACGUUUCCUCA
Gopherus flavomarginatus (Mexican gopher tortoise) is the source of this 2086-nucleotide long non-coding RNA. RefSeq lists it as uncharacterized. The transcript has 2 exons. Lineage: Eukaryota; Metazoa; Chordata; Testudines; Testudinidae. The record is from RefSeq and is a predicted model, not a curated record.